GGUGAACGCUAGCGGCAGGCCUAACACAUGCAAGUCGAGGGGUAGGGUUAGCUUGCUAACUUGAGACCGGCGCACGGGUGCGUAACGCGUAUGCAAUCUACCUUGUACAGGGGGAUAGCCCAGAGAAAUUUGGAUUAAUACCCCAUGGUGUUAUGAUGUGGCAUCACAUUAUAACUAAAGUUCCAACGGUACAAGAUGAGCAUGCGUCCCAUUAGCUAGUUGGUGUGGUAACGGCAUACCAAGGCAAUGAUGGGUAGGGGUCCUGAGAGGGGGAUCCCCCACACUGCUACUGAGACACGGACCAGACUCCUACGGGAGGCAGCAGUGAGGAAUAUUGGUCGAUGGGCGCAAGCCUGAACCAGCCAUGCCGCGUGCAGGAUGACGGUCCUAUGGAUUGUAAACUGCUUUUAUACGGGAAGAAACACUCCUACGUGUAGGAACUUGACGGUACCGUAAGAAUAAGGAUCGGCUAACUCCGUGCCAGCAGCCGCCGUAA
RNAcentral lists this ribosomal RNA (496 nucleotides) under uncultured bacterium. RNAcentral's name for it is "partial 16S ribosomal RNA". It matches the Rfam family "Bacterial small subunit ribosomal RNA", at positions 28 to 523 of the family's 1533-position model. The record is from RNAcentral.